RNAcentral lists this long non-coding RNA (3959 nucleotides) under Homo sapiens (human). RNAcentral describes it as "non-protein coding HAGLR:24". Lineage: Eukaryota; Metazoa; Chordata; Mammalia; Primates; Hominidae. The record is from RNAcentral.
GGCUAUUGUUCCCCGCAGGGGCCCGGGGCGCCCUGAAACGGGGUCCACGUCAGCCCGCUCCCGAGCGUGUCCUCAGGUCUAAGGACGGGUGGGGCUUCCUUUGUGUGUUCUCUGGAAGGGGCUGGGAUGGCGUCGUUGCUGCCCCAAGGGGUAACCGAGGGGGAUUGAGGGAAGAUGGUACCAGCUCCCUAGAGCUCAGCUCACCAGACCUACUCUUCCGCUCGACCCUUGCAGAGGAGGUGGGGACGGAUAUGGUAUUUGUAGGGCAGCGCUGUGAACAAUGGAGCCAUCAAAAAGGCCUUCUCCCAGCCUCCUCACCAACCACGGACAUUCCUGGCCCAACAAGACCUCCUGGCCAGGUUUUGAGCCCUGCUUCCCAGAUCUGGGGACCCUUCACCUGCCUCUACUACUGCAAAUGAUUGGAUAUUCGUCUGACUUGGCUCUUCCCUAAUGUGUGGAACUAAUUUUGUUCACUCUGUUUCAUGCUGGACCUGGCCUGAAAAUGGGCCCUUAUAUUGUCUUUGCACUUUCCAACUUGCCAAGUUUCUGAAAGAAGGACCAAAGUAAUGCCAAGAACUCCCAGAUGAAGAGGACCUUCCUUAGACCUAUAACAGAUUCACUACUUGACUUCAGAGGGAAGUUUCAGCUAAUUCUCAGGAAAAGGUCAAAACAGGCCUGUGACUGUCCCUUGAAUACUGAAGGUAUAAACAAGCUUCUGGCUCCUCCAGGUCAAGCAGAGGAACACUUUUAUUAGAAUGAAGGGUUACUUCUUUGUUAUUCAAACACACACCCACACACAUCCUCUGUAGUCUCCCUAAUGAAAAACCUCAACAGAUGGAGAGCCUGAGCUCCCAAGUCCGCAGGCUGAGAAGAUGCACUUCACUCAAGGGCCAGUGGGCUGGUACAGACUAGGGAAGAGAAAAGGGACAAAGGCUGCUAGUAUAGGUAAUCACUAUCUUUUAAUACUCCUAACACAUAGAAAUUCGAAAAAUCUUGUUCAGCAAUGUUAGCAGCCUGUGAGCCUCGGAAACUAAUUUGGCUGAUGUGUCUCUGAUAGGGAGCUUGGGGCUGCACCAAGGGGAAACAUUCUCCUCCUGUAUUCUCUCCUCUCUCUCGUUUGAAAGCCUGUACAAAGAAAUGGUACAAAUGGAUGGUUAACUUAAUGAUUCCAUCAGAGGCAGAUUUUUCUCUGUCAGGUCCCUGGAUAAGGUGGAGGUCUGAAAGCCAGGAGACAGAAUAUGUACUUAAUCGCCCUUUCUGACCUGCUUACCAGUGACCAGGACUACUCUCCAGGCCUUUCUUCUGCCACUUCCCCAUUCUUCCUGGCUAGUUCAGUUGGGUCUCAGCACUUCAACUCCUGGCUGGAUCCUGAGUUUUUCUUGGUUGCAGGGAAAGCUCUCACUGUCUGCAUCUCCUUCCCCACCCCCACCUCCCGUUUUGCAGCUGGCCAUUCUGGCUGCCUCACAGCUAUCCUGCCUUAAUUCAUAUUUGAUUGCCUGGACAGAACCACCUAGAAUGUCCAGACGACUGCCACCCCUCAGCCAUGGGCCUGAGAUCCUGCCCUGACCCCUUUCUUCAGACCCCAGGAGGACCCACAAUCUCCCUGAUCCCCACCUUCCCCAAAGUAGUCUCUAGGAAAAAAGCAGAGCUGGCUAAGGCCUGAGACAGAGCCAUUUCUUCCCCUUGGGCAAACGAGGUAGACCCUCCCAGAGACCAAUGCCGGAGAGGCCCGGAUCCGAGCUCCCUUUAUAUGGCCUCCCCCAUCACGGAUCCCGUGGGAAAACCUGACACACAAUGGCGCGGCUGCUCCGGGCACCCUCAACCCAGCGCCCUGCGGCAAGGCCUGGAGCAGCCUGGUGGUCUUGGUGCGCUCCCUUUGCCCUCCCCGCAACCCUCUGCGAGCACUCGUCCCAGGAGAGAGACCCUGGCUAGGGUGGAGGUUGCCUCCCGCAAAGGGCGCUGUUGCUGGGGCCUCCCCUCCCCCAUUCUCUUGUUUUUCUGCUUCUGAGACUCGGGAGGGAGGCGGCAGGCGCCUCCGCAGCCGAUAGAGCAGCUAUUGUGACCUUCCCUUGCAGAGCGGGAACCCAGCCGAGUGUGUACCGCCGGCGGUGGCGGGGGAGGAGGCGACUGUGUGUGCAAACCUCAGUCGGAGAGGGGGUGGCGCUGGGAAAUAAAGGUUUGCAACCUCAGGCAGUUGGGCCCUUCAGAGGGCGUUUGGUUGUGUUUAGACUCGGUUGCUUUCUAACACUAAUUGCAGGCUCAAAAGGAGCGGAAUUUAUUGCGAAGGCCAAGGCGGCUUGUUUAUAAUUUAUGAAGUUUUAAAUGGCUGUGCCGCGGGCCCCAACUUUCUCCUGGGCUGGCAGCCGCGCGGAAACGCGCCCUCCCCCGGCUCGCCGCCCACCCCCACCCACGCCCCUCAGAUGAGUCUCACGCCAAUGGCAGGAACAGAUCCGAGCUAUUAGAAGUCUCGGGAACCUCCAGAGAUGACAGAAGGUGGCAGAUUUGGUCCAAGCCCUCACCCCACUCGAGAGGAGGGCGUCGGGGAAAGCUGUGGCUGCCUGGAGAGGGAGCCCCUGAUCCCACACUUCCUUGGAGCCUGAGUGUGAGAGGAAGCUAAUGUCAGCCGGGCUAGACACCGUUUAAAGUCUAAUCCAUGAAACCCUAAGCCGCAAAUGACACUUGGGGCUUUGCAGACACCCGCAGACUCAGCAGAUACUCCUGCGGUAACACACUGUGCUGGAAAACGCCUGGAGCCAUGACACAUUACGUAUUUUUAUUAUUAUUUAUGGUAGGAAGAGGAGAUGAGGGAAAAUCGGGCUGAAUCUAAGCAGCCUGACAAUUCAGCUAGUUAAUAUUUAGCCAGUUAAGAAAGGUGGUUGUAAUCCCUGCAAGGCAGUGAGCUCUCCUUUGAUUUCUCUAAUAGCUUAAAAAAUAAUUUCUUACAAGACAAUUAGAAAUUCUGCCUAUGGAUGCAAAUUUCAUAGAAAACAAUGUUAAGCCUUGAAAGUGGGUAAAAUGUGCCUUCGAUUGAAGUCAUUUAUUCUGUUGAUACACUUCUACAACAUAUAUAUUUUAAACCUGCUCAGAUAAAGUGAAAUUUAGCAAAAGGAUAUCCCCUCCCACCCCCAAAUCUAACAUGCCAUUUUAAAAACAGCACAAAGGAACAAGGAAACUAAAUAUUAUUUUGAGCCAUCAUUACUUAGUGAAAUACAAACAUCCAAAUAGAAACGAUUGUUGUUCCACCAGAAGAUUAGAAGUUAAAUUAUUUCCACACAAUAGGAAUUUCACUUCGUGUCAUCGGGGAUGUAGUAGGAGUUGCAUUAUUUGUCAAACCAAAUAGAGAUGCGUGGGCUGACUUUGCUGAAAUACAAAAGAAUUGAACCUUAUCUGAAGGCGUUUUCUAAGUGGCCCCUCCCAUAGAAGCCGGGAAGUUGUCCACCCCUAGCAGAAGCCACAUUAAUAUUUACAAAAUGGUUAUAAAUCCUUGAAGACAUUUUUGCCCAUUUUGUAUAAGAAACAGGAGUAAACAAGGUGUUUAUACUUGUUAUGUUUCAUUAAUGAAAUAUUAUUACUUUACAUCUUGGGGAAUGUUUGUUUUCUUUAGAAAUGAACUAAUGAUCACUACAAAGGAAGAAUUCAUGACAGCAUUUCCUAGAGAAAAAGCUUAGGUACGCGUCUCCAAAUGAUGGUUUCUUUUUCUACACCUUAGCUUUUUCAUAGCUCAAUUCUUCUUACAACUUCUCUUGUGUUUUUUCUUUGAUUGUCAGUUUUCUUUCAAAGUUUAUUUUUUGUUACUUAAUGCAGAAAAGUGAGCUCUGGUCUCCCCAGUGUAAAAGUCGAUUGUGUCUAGAAAGAAGGCAGUAAAAACAGCAAAGCAGGCGCUGCUUUCAAAAAGCCCUGCCCAAAUCAUCCCGCCCAGAACCUUCUUAGGUUUGCAUCCUCAUUUCCCCCUCCCCUAA